Molecule: long non-coding RNA, 128 nt
Organism: Haliotis rubra (blacklip abalone)
Lineage: Eukaryota; Metazoa; Mollusca; Gastropoda; Lepetellida; Haliotidae
Exons: 3
Source: RefSeq, a predicted model, not a curated record
ACGAUGAGUCAACAAAGUCAGCGAGCCUGUCUACCCGAUCGCUUAAGUCGCCACUUACGACGGACAUGGGUUACUGAAGAUCAAUAUUCUAACCCGGAUCUUCACGGGUAUCGUUCUGUGUUGUAUUU